This is a long non-coding RNA of Diorhabda sublineata, 1105 nucleotides long. RefSeq lists it as uncharacterized. NCBI's taxonomy places the organism in Eukaryota, Metazoa, Arthropoda, Insecta, Coleoptera, Chrysomelidae. The transcript is spliced from 4 exons. The record is from RefSeq and is a predicted model, not a curated record.
AAAGAAGGCAGUUUUUUUCAUCAUUGUUCAGUACAUUACAAAUCGUAUUUAUCUGUCUUUAUCACACUUACUACAAAACAUUUGUAGAGGCGCUUUUGUAUUUACAGAAAUCUUUCGAAAGUUACAUUAUUCUAUUUGUGGGUUUGUGUGGUUUCAAUAAUCAUCAUUCACCGGAAAAUGAGAUUUUGUAUUGUGUGCGGUAAUUCUGAAGACGACGUAAAGCAUUUAUUUUGCUUUCCCCGUAGCGCAGACAGGUCGCAAAUAUGGCAGGAAGCUAUGGGAAUGAAAUAUAGACCACUAUGUGGCCAUGUUAGAAUCUGCAAUGAGCAUUUCACAAAAGAUAGAUUUGUGCCGUGUACCUCAGUUUUACGUUUGAAAGCUGAUGCAGUGCCUAGAAUUCUGGAAGUCCAGAAGGACCAUGUUAUGAAGGGACUGGGCCAGAUAGGAAAUAAAAAAGUAUUUACAUUAUAUCCCAAUAUAUAAUAAAGCCAGAACCACAGACUCUUUUGGAUACCAAAUCAUUAAGUAAUGCAAACAGUGAAGUUACUGAACAUGAGAAAACAAAUUCCUCUCAGUCACCAUCCCAACGGGCUGUCACACCAAUUUCAAGUACAGUUAGAUGUAGAAGGACUCUUUUUAAGGACGUUGAAGGCUUGUGUUCAACACAGAUAACACCAAGAAAGCAAAAGUUGAUGGUUAUUGUGAAGAGGAAGCAGGGUUGCAUAAGAAAAUUACAAAAAGUUUGCAAACAAAAAGGGAAAAGGAAUAAAACUUUAGAAAAUAUAACAUUGAAUAAUUGUUUCAAAGGUAAACAACAAGUAAUUAUAAUUUGUAUUUACUUCUAAACUAAUAAUUUUAUAUAUAAUAUAAUAUAAUAAUUUUUUGGCAGGCAUGCCAUCUACCAUAUCUAACUUUAUGAUGUCUCAGAUUUACAAACAACUUUGUCCUCUUGCAUAACGUUUUGUUUCAGUUUUCUUGGAAUCCCUAUGAUCUAAUGUUACUAGUUCUCAUUCAGUCUGUGUUUGUUAUGAAAAGAUGUGGCAUAGCAUUAUUAUUAUUGUGAAUCUUUGUUGUACUUAUGCAAAUACAAUUUGACAAAGCUCAA